Bicyclus anynana (squinting bush brown) is the source of this 3725-nucleotide RNA transcript. It is a transcript of the gene named spermine oxidase, with no coding region annotated. NCBI's taxonomy places the organism in Eukaryota, Metazoa, Arthropoda, Insecta, Lepidoptera, Nymphalidae. The record is from RefSeq and is a predicted model, not a curated record. The transcript is spliced from 13 exons.
GUUCUACAGAUAAGCUGUAGAUAUUUGCGAGUAUUCUUUAGUAGUCAAGUUUAGCUCGAAAUGGUUGCACCAGCUAUGGAUGUUAUAGUGAUAGGGUGCGGUGCAUCCGGCAUUGCAGCUCUAAGACGCCUCCACGACGCUGGUGUCAAGGCCAUUGGGCUGGAGGCUGCUGAUAGGAUCGGUGGGAGGAUUCGCACCGUCGAGUACGGCGAUUGUUAUCUUGAUUUAGGAGGCGCAUGGUGUCAUGGCGAAAAGGACAACAUUGUAUUCGAAAUGGCCAAUCCACUUGGCCUCCUUGCUAAACCCAAACCCGAUCACAGAUACUUCUUACUGUCUGAUGGAAAGUUAAUCUCAAAUGAGACUGGAGAUAAGAUUCUUCAGAUAUUAGACCAAGAAGUUGGGAUAGCUGAUAAAAAUAAUUCUAAAUCGAUUUCUGACUGUAUACGUAGCGCGGCAAAAACAAAUCCAGAUCUUCAAAAUGACCCAAAACUAGUACAAUCUCUUGUUGAAUGGUAUGAAAGGAACAAUCAUUUGGGAGGUCAAAAUGAUCCUAAAACAGGAAAAUCUUUAAAAGGAUUGGAAGAGUGGUGGGUAUGUGAAGGAGAGCCCUUUAUCAAUUGGAAAGGAAAAGGAUAUAAAACUGUAUUGGAUGUUUUAUUGAAUAAAUGCCCCGAUCCCUCAAAAGAACUUCCAAUCGCCAUCCAUCUUAACAAAGAUGUAGAGACCAUAAAGUGGUGCACAAACAAGCCAGACUUACAACGAUGUAACCCACUGGUGCAGAUAAAAUGCAAAGAUGGCAGCUUGUAUGCAGCUAAAAGCGUUAUUGUUACACUUUCCGUUGGAGUUCUUAAAGAGAGACAUAACCAGUUAUUUAGUCCAGCGUUACCAAUUGAGAAAAUCAACUCAAUAAACAAUCUUCAGUACUGUAUUCUGGAUAAAAUUUAUAUAGAAUUCACCCAUCCCUGGUGGCCUAAAUUUCCGUCAAACUUUUCCAUAUUGUGGAAAGAUGAGGACAAAGCAAAGUUUUCCAGCCAAGAAUGGUGGAUCACGGAAGUUUUUGGUUUCAAUACUGUUGAGUAUCAUCCGAAUUUACUCCUUGCGUGGGUAUAUGGAGAAGGUGCAAUCCAAAUGGAGAAAACUAGCGAAGAACAAGUCAAAGCUGGUAUCGAGAAACUAUUGCAUGUUUUAUUCAGCAAAGAAUUCAAACCGAGUCCAGUGAAAUCCAUCUUGAGAUCACAAUGGGCAUGUAACCCAUUCACGAGAGGCGCUUAUUCAUACCGUAGCGUUAACACAGAAGAAAAUGGUGCUAGUGCUAUAGUGUUGAGCGAGCCGUUAUACCAUGGCGAUGGAUUCCCCGUGGUCUGUUUCGCUGGUGAAGCUACGUCACAUCACAGGCAUAAUGCUGUCCAUGGGGCCGUUGAGGCAGGAUUUAGAGAAGCUGAUAGAUUGAUUGCCAGUUUUAAAGAGAAUGAGAUAUCUAUACCAGCAAUGGAUGUAAUAGUGGUUGGCUGUGGUGCAUCCGGCAUUGCAGCUUUAAGACGUCUUCAUGAUGCUGGUCUCAAAGUCAUAGGGCUCGAGGCGGAUAAUAGGAUUGGUGGGAGGGUCCACUCUAUACAGUUUGGUGACUGCUAUAUUGAUAUGGGAGGUGCAUGGUGCCACGGUGAAAAGGACAAUGUAGUAUUUGAUAUGGUGAAAACUCUGGGUCUGCAUUCUAGAACUGAGCCCAGCCACGUAUACUAUCUACUAUCUGAUGGGAAUUUAAUACCAAAUGAGGCAGGCAAUUCUAUUCUCCAAAUUUUGGAUGAAGAAGUGUUCAAAGCUGAUAAAAAUAAUUCUAAAUCAGUUUUAGAGUGUAUUCUUAAUGUGGCAAAAACAAAUCCAUCACUACAAAAAGAUCCUGAACUAGUACAAUAUUUCGUGGAAUGGUAUAAACGGGGACAUCAAUUAGGUGGUGAGAUUGAUCCAAAAACGGGAAUAUCACUGAAAACAUUAAAAGAAUGGUGGGUGAGUGCUGACGAACUUCUUCACAAUUGGAAAGGAAAGGGCUAUAGAAUCAUCUUGGACUUUUUGUUGAAUAAAAUUCCCGAUGCCACAAAAGAAAUUUCAAUUCCAAUCCACCUCAACAAGGAAGUUGAAAAUAUAAUGUGGUCCGCAAGUAAGCCUGAACGCAGUAGCCCACUGGUACAAAUAAAAUGCAAAGAUGGCAGCUCAUAUACUGCUAAAAGUGUAAUCAUUACAGUUUCUAUCGGAGUUCUCCAAGAGAGACAUAGCCAGUUAUUCAACCCACCAUUACCAGUAGAGAAAAUUAAAUCUAUCAUGAAACUUCAGCGUUGUGUUCACGAUAAAAUUUAUAUAGAAUUUUCCCAGCCAUGGUGGCCCAAAUAUCCCUCAACUUUUACUAUGUUAUGGCGGGAGGAAGACAAAGCGAAAUUUUCAAACCAAGAAAGAUGGAUUACAGAAAUUUAUGCAAUAAAAACUGUAGAAUAUCAUCCUAAUUUGCUUCUUGCGUGGAUAUAUGGCGAAGAGGCAAUAGAAAUGGAAAAGAUAAGCGAAGAAGAAGUCAAAGCAGGCAUUGAGAAACUUUUGACUGUCUUAUUUACUAAAGAAUUCAAACCGAACCAUGUGAAAUCAAUAAUAUGAUCACAAUGGGCAAUCAAUCCUUUUUUCCGAGGAUCUUAUUUCUACCAUGGCGUUAACACAGAAGAAAAUGAUUAUAACACUUCGCCACUAAGCGAGCCUUUGUACCACGGUGAUAGAUUCCCUGUGGUUUGUUUUGCUGGCGAUACCACAUCAAAUAAAUCACCUAAUGGUGUCCAUGGGGCAGUCUCAGCAGGAUUUCGAGAAGCUGAUAGAUUGAUUGCUAGCUUUAAAGAUUUGUAAUGAAGACACCUACCUACACCUACCAGUGACGUGCACUUCAUACAUGCAUUAAUACCUGCAUACCCUAAGAGUUGUCUUCUUAGUGCUUAUUAAAAACAGAUUUUCCAGUUUACUUAAUUUUAUUACUAGUGCAUACCCUGAGUUACUGCAGGCACGCCACUGCCACCUACCUUACAUUAGUAAUUAGCUAUAUUGAUUUCUAAAAUAAAUAAAUUCUAAAUUAAAAAAUAAUUAAGAAAAAGAAGUUUAAUAAAAGCUGCCGUUUUCAAUUAUGUAAUCGUUGAUAUUAUUUUCUUGUAAACUUUUGCGAGAUAGCGACAUAGACCACAAUAUAAUUGUGGUUUGACUCAAUGAUAUUUUAUAUUUAGAGAUAGGGCACUAGCGUAACAAAACUGAGAAUGUAAUUUAAUUAUAUAAUACCUUAAUAUUUUCUACAAUAACAAGUUGAGUGUUUAGGAAGUGUAAAAACUAUAUAUACAUAAAUAUAUAAUAUGUGUGCGCUCAGUGGAGUAGCUAAAUUCGGAUCACUUUUUGCGAUGAUUUUGGCACGUCAGCCUAGCCGGAGAACGAACCCAGGACCUCCGUCUUUGUCAGAAACGUCCUAAAAAUUGCAUCCGACUACCCUAGAUCUCAGAAUACAGUAAAACACAUGACAUGAUAAACUGUACACUUAAUAUUACUUUGCCUCUAACUUUCUAAAAUUUUACCAAAAAAAUAGGGAAAAUUUUACAGCGCAUGCGCAAUGAACUCGCAACAUUACGCGGGUGGGAAGUGCGAGGGGUGCGGAUUGAUGUUAUCAUUUUUGGACAUAGUCCUCGCUGUAUAAUGACGCCUGAACGUACCAU